UGCACCCAUUCUCCACCACCAGCCCACACGUGGUUUUGUUCAGAUGUAUUUCUGACUGUGGUCUGUAACCAAAAAAGUUGGAAGACAUGUCUAAAGGCUCCUAAGGUAAGAAUGGUACUUCUUUAAAACUAAGAAUUUUUUCAUUGCCGUGUGUGUGUGUGUGUGUGUGUGUGCGCGCGUAGGUGAGCCUGGAGGAAAUCAGAGCAGGAGAAAGGAUGAAAGGACACUCACAUUGUGAGCACUUGUUACCCACCAUGCACCGAGCACAGCGCUUUACCAAUUUGCACGUAUUUUCUCCUAAAUCUUCACAUCAGCCUUGUGAGACGUGGUUAAAUCCCACUCGGUAGAACAGAGGUUCAAAGAAAGUAAGGAACGCACCCAGAGCCAUAUGGCAAGAAAUAUGCUGGAACUGGAAUUUGCACCCAGGCCUAUCGGUCUCCAAAGCCACCUGACCACUUUUCCCAUCUCGGGUGCUCUUCCCAAGGCCCCUGCCUCUGCAGGUUGUACUUCCCUGCCUCACUGGCACAUGACCUUGGCCCAGGAUUGCCUCCAAAUCACCGUGAGAGAGGCACAGUUCAUCCCAGGACUUCAGAUCGUCCACAGAGUGUCCUUGGCCCCCUGCCCAGCUCACACCUGCCCUCCAGAUGCCAGGACCUGAACAGCUCACCAUUCCGCCCGAUGCUUAGACGGCUCUUGCCAGUCGCUGGCUCCUUGGUCUCUCACUGUCUCUCUCUGUCUCUAGAUGGUGCCCUCUUGCUGGAGGACCGGCUCGACCUUUCCUCUCUGAAAGUUUUCAUGUGUCUGCUCCCACCCAGGGAGGUGGAGGCUUUCUUUUGGGUAUUUUCCGUUCUUCUGACCAUGAAAAGGGCAAUCACGGAGGAGAUGUUUCAUUAUCAAGCAACUUCGAGACUAGUGAUUGACCAAACACCUGGGCACCUAGGCCCCCACAUCACACACAUGGAACUUCAGCAGCAACAUUGGAUGAGUUUCACACUCAGAUGAAGUCUGUUGCUAGGCUCCCUUGA
Long non-coding RNA from Leopardus geoffroyi (Geoffroy's cat), 1025 nucleotides. RefSeq lists it as uncharacterized. The transcript is spliced from 3 exons. The record is from RefSeq and is a predicted model, not a curated record. NCBI's taxonomy places the organism in Eukaryota, Metazoa, Chordata, Mammalia, Carnivora, Felidae.